UAAGCUAUACAAGGGUAUAUUGAAAUUUUGGAUUUAAAGUAUAUUCUGCCCCCUGAUUAAUCUAUUAAAGGGCCGCAGUAGCCUGACUGUGCUAAGGUAGCAUAAUCAUUAGGUUCUUAAUUGGGAUCUGGAAUGAAGGAAUGAAUAAGGAGUAGCUGUCUACCAACAUAGUUUGAAAUUAAAUUUUAGUAAGAAUGCUAGAGUACUUUUAGUGGGACGAUAAGAACCUAAAACUGCACUAAUUCCGAGUAAAAAUUAAAUUUACUUUUAUUAGANGGAUUAGUUUUUUCUGGGGCCGGAGGNAAAUCAACUUCGUUGAUUUUNUUUUUUUUUGGAUCCAUCUUUGGUGAAGUAAGAUUAAGUUACUUUAGGGAUAACAGCAUAAUAUACCUAUGGAGUUCUAAUCGAAGGGUAUGGUUGUGACCUCGAUGUUGAAUUAACCUUAUUUUAAGGCGAAGAAGCUUUAAGAGUUAGUCUGUUCGACUAUUGAAGGGUUACGUGAUUUGAGUUCAAACCGGUGUGAGCCAGGUUGGUUUCUAUCUAUUGGGUUUAGAAAGCCUUUUAGUACGAAAGGACCAAAGGCUUUAGAGUUUCUAUCUAAGGAUUUUAUUGACCUCUUUUAGGUAUC
This 628-nucleotide ribosomal RNA is filed under the name Leiobunum sp. 'minutum'. Its description in RNAcentral is "16S ribosomal RNA". It matches the Rfam family "Bacterial large subunit ribosomal RNA", at positions 1822 to 2755 of the family's 2925-position model. Lineage: Eukaryota; Metazoa; Arthropoda; Arachnida; Opiliones; Sclerosomatidae. The record is from RNAcentral.